GCCGGGAUGGUCUAGUGGUUAUGACGUCUGCCUUACACGCAGAAAAUCGCGAUUUCAAUCACGUCAUGCCG
This 71-nucleotide transfer RNA is filed under the name Perkinsus marinus ATCC 50983. It matches the Rfam family "tRNA". Rfam says of the family: Transfer RNA (tRNA) molecules are approximately 80 nucleotides in length. Their secondary structure includes four short double-helical elements and three loops (D, anti-codon, and T loops). Further hydrogen bonds mediate the characteristic L-shaped molecular structure. tRNAs have two regions of fundamental functional importance: the anti-codon, which is responsible for specific mRNA codon recognition, and the 3' end, to which the tRNAs corresponding amino acid is attached (by aminoacyl-tRNA synthetases). tRNAs cope with the degeneracy of the genetic code in two manners: having more than one tRNA (with a specific anti-codon) for a particular amino acid; and 'wobble' base-pairing, i.e. permitting non-standard base-pairing at the 3rd anti-codon position. Lineage: Eukaryota; Perkinsozoa; Perkinsida; Perkinsidae. The record is from Rfam by way of RNAcentral.